AAACUUUAGAAAGCAUUCUACAUUAUUAAUUAUUCGUGUCGCGUUUUAGUGUUUUUAAAUAAUGAGAACGAGUCAUUUGCAAUACUUGAUGAUGGUGGAGUUUAUGGAAGUAAAUGGAGAUUUAUCCAAACCUUCUGGUGGUCCACGAGGUCGGCAUUUCGUUCAAAUGAAGUGGAAAGAACUGAGUAAUAAAUUAAAUGGUGAUGGCACAGGAGAUCCUAGAUCCGAAGAGAAAUGGCGCAAGGUAUAGAGUGACUAUAAAAAUAACACUAAAAAGAAGUGUGCCAAAAUGAAUAGGGGCGCUAGUGGCACUGGUGGUGGGCCAGCACUUCAAUUAUCUUUGACUGACCUUGAAAAUAGGGUCAUGCAGAUAAUUGGAGUGCAAGCAGCAACGGGUAUGGUGAUAGAAGAAGCUGAGUUUCAGCGGGUUAGCUGUGGUGUAGCGACUGAGGUUGAUACUGCAUCAGUUCAACCUGAUAAAUCAGUACCUGAAGUCUCUUCAGAAUUUUAUAUAGAAGAUUGGAAUACUCCUGGUACCAGCAAGGAACCCACUGUUGCACCUCCAUCUAUGUUGUCACCACCAGCACCUACUACAUCACCUCCAAAUGCUCCUGUGGAAGAGGAGUGGAAGCCUCCACCACAAAAAAAAUUUAAAAACAACAACGAAGCAAUUAAAAUGUUAAUUAGAGGAGAUAUGCAAUCUAGGGAGUAUGCUAGGGAGCGUGAUAGGGUAUAUGAGGAGACAGAAAAGGAAAGGUUAAGAUUAAAGAAUGAAGAAUUGAAAGUGAGAGAGUUAGAGAUACGAGAAAGAGUGAGACAGAGGGAUAUAGAGCUACAAUUGCAAGCUGCAUGGCUGGCGGUUAUGAGACAGGCUAUGGAAGUUUUUGUUAGGUAUAUGGAAAGACAUUGAUAUUAUAAUAUUACUUUUUAAUUAAUUAUUAUUUAAUUUACA
Molecule: RNA transcript, 952 nt
Organism: Papilio machaon (common yellow swallowtail)
Lineage: Eukaryota; Metazoa; Arthropoda; Insecta; Lepidoptera; Papilionidae
Exons: 5
Source: RefSeq, a predicted model, not a curated record